UACGGGGGGGGCAAGCGUUGUUCGGAAUUACUGGGCGUAAAGGGCGCGUAGGCGGCCUUCUAAGUCGAACGUGAAAUCCCCGGGCUCAACCCGGGAACUGCGUCCGAUACUGGAAGGCUUGAAUCCGGGAGAGGGAUGCGGAAUUCCAGGUGUAGCGGUGAAAUGCGUAGAUAUCUGGAGGAACACCGGUGGCGAAGGCGGCAUUCUGGACCGGCAUUGACGCUGAGGCGCGAAAGCCAGGGGAGCAAACGGG
RNAcentral lists this ribosomal RNA (253 nucleotides) under uncultured bacterium. Its description in RNAcentral is "partial 16S ribosomal RNA". It matches the Rfam family "Bacterial small subunit ribosomal RNA", at positions 524 to 776 of the family's 1533-position model. The record is from RNAcentral.